Molecule: transfer RNA, 70 nt
Filed under: Dipodomys ordii (Ord's kangaroo rat)
Lineage: Eukaryota; Metazoa; Chordata; Mammalia; Rodentia; Heteromyidae
Rfam family: tRNA
About the family: Transfer RNA (tRNA) molecules are approximately 80 nucleotides in length. Their secondary structure includes four short double-helical elements and three loops (D, anti-codon, and T loops). Further hydrogen bonds mediate the characteristic L-shaped molecular structure. tRNAs have two regions of fundamental functional importance: the anti-codon, which is responsible for specific mRNA codon recognition, and the 3' end, to which the tRNAs corresponding amino acid is attached (by aminoacyl-tRNA synthetases). tRNAs cope with the degeneracy of the genetic code in two manners: having more than one tRNA (with a specific anti-codon) for a particular amino acid; and 'wobble' base-pairing, i.e. permitting non-standard base-pairing at the 3rd anti-codon position.
Source: Rfam by way of RNAcentral
GGGAAGUUGGCUCAGUGGUAGAGUGCUUGCCUCCCAAGCAAGAGGCCCUGGGUUCGAUUCCUCAGUUCCA